UCGUCAGAAACUUCAUUUUAUUAGCAAGAAAGAUCAAUGCACGAGUUCAGUUGAAAAACCAUUGACAACAGACGCGGUAUACAAGCACCACACGGCACGGCAAUGCCAACCCUAAAAGUGGAAAUGACAGCAAUGCUGGAAGAAUUGUACAGCCAGCAGCACUGCAUUCAAUUCAUGGCUAGAAAUCACCAAUCUGCCGCUUCUCUUUCUUUUUCGCAAAAGACCAAUGCUGAUGUUGGUAUGAGUUCAGUUGAAAAAC
RNAcentral lists this long non-coding RNA (259 nucleotides) under Selaginella moellendorffii. Its description in RNAcentral is "long non-coding RNA (SMOE_LNC002347)". The record is from RNAcentral. Lineage: Eukaryota; Viridiplantae; Streptophyta; Lycopodiopsida; Selaginellales; Selaginellaceae.